GUGAAUCAUCGAAUUUUUGAACGCAAAUUGCGCCUUUUUCGGAAGGCAUGUCUGUUUGAGGGCACCAUUUAACAAAUAAUGUGCAGCGUUUUUUGUUGCACACGUUGAUGAGCUCUCCAAGAAUUUUAAAUUUUUGGUGGCGCAUAAUGGACAGCGUGAAAGUUUUUUUCAGUUCGAGUGCAGUAAAAUUUUUUUUCGACGCUUGGGUGGUUGGAAAGUGUGCGCAAUGGGUGUGGCGAGUACCCUGCCCCAACGCCACUCUUUCCUCGUGAAAGAAAAAAAUUCUAAUCAUCAG
This 295-nucleotide unclassified non-coding RNA is filed under the name Paraglomerales sp. RNAcentral describes it as "partial contains 5.8S ribosomal RNA and internal transcribed spacer 2". The stretch from base 1 to 65 matches the Rfam family "5.8S ribosomal RNA", at positions 84 to 154 of the family's 154-position model. The record is from RNAcentral. Lineage: Eukaryota; Fungi; Glomeromycota; Glomeromycetes; Paraglomerales.